AUUGAUUGCCCAGUACGCUGGGACAGCUGGUAAUGGGAUACCU
This 43-nucleotide unclassified non-coding RNA is filed under the name synthetic construct. RNAcentral describes it as "RNA (43-MER) from synthetic construct (PDB 7ODF, chain F)". The record is from RNAcentral.